CCCCACCCAAUAAGGCCACAAUCAAUGAGCCUAAAUAUGGCUCCUACUCUGGAAAUCAAGCUGAGGAGGUCACAACUAAGAAAACCAAGCUAAUGAUGGAAACACAACUAAGGAUAGCGUAAGGCUUGGAUUUUCCAGAUGGUUGAUAUAUUUUUUCACAUUCCCAUAAGUCAAAGAAAGGAACUCACCCCAAAGCCGGAGGAGCACAUCCCAAUGGAUCAGCACUUCCUUCUACAUUUAAGAACAGCAGUGUAAUGAAAAUGAAAGAGAAAAAACAGGCUGUAAAAAUAAAAAAAUUACUUCUUAA
Polypterus senegalus (gray bichir) is the source of this 307-nucleotide long non-coding RNA. RefSeq lists it as uncharacterized. The record is from RefSeq and is a predicted model, not a curated record. The transcript has 2 exons. NCBI's taxonomy places the organism in Eukaryota, Metazoa, Chordata, Cladistia, Polypteriformes, Polypteridae.